RNAcentral lists this transfer RNA (65 nucleotides) under Bankia gouldi. RNAcentral describes it as "tRNA-Trp". Lineage: Eukaryota; Metazoa; Mollusca; Bivalvia; Myida; Teredinidae. The record is from RNAcentral.
AAGAUAUUAAGUUAAUAAGACUGUGGCACUUCAAAUGCUAAAGUGAAUAUGUUAUUCAUAUCUUG